UUUGGGUGCUGGGCUCUCCCAGUUGGAUUUUGGGCUCUCCCAGUUUGGAUUUGCGCUCUCCCAGUUUGGAUGCUGUGCUCUCCCAGUUUGGAUGCUGUGCUCUCCCAGUUUGGAUGCUGUGCUCUCCCAGUUUGGAUAAUGGGCUCUCCCAGUUGGAUUUGCGCUCUCCCAG
RNAcentral lists this long non-coding RNA (172 nucleotides) under Phasianus colchicus (ring-necked pheasant). Its description in RNAcentral is "lncRNA (ENSPCLG00000016953.1)". The record is from RNAcentral. Lineage: Eukaryota; Metazoa; Chordata; Aves; Galliformes; Phasianidae.